RNAcentral lists this long non-coding RNA (495 nucleotides) under Cottoperca gobio. RNAcentral's name for it is "lncRNA (ENSCGOG00000004851.1)". The record is from RNAcentral. Lineage: Eukaryota; Metazoa; Chordata; Actinopteri; Perciformes; Bovichtidae.
UUCAAAUUGAAUCGUGCCUCCACUAAUCUCUGUAUCUAUCUGUAUCUAUAUCUGUAUCUAUAUCUGUAUCUAUAUCUGUAUCUAUCUGUAUCUAUAUCUGUAUCUAUAUCUGUAUCUAUCUGUAUCUAUAUCUGUAUUUAUCUGUAUCUAUAUCUAUAUCUGUAUUCAUCUGUAUCUAUAUCUAUAUCUGUAUCUACUGUAUCUAUAUCUGUAUCCAUAUCUGUAUCUGUAUCUAUAUCUGUAUCUAUCUGUAUCUAUCUGUAUCUAUAUCUGUAUCUAUCUGUAUCUAUAUAUAUCUGUACCUAUAUCUGUAUCUAUAUCUAUCUGUAUCUAUAUCUGUAUCUAUAUCUGUAUCUAUCUGUAUCUAUAUCUAUCUGUAUCUAUAUCUAUAUCUGUAUCUAUCUGUAUCCAUAUCUGUAUCUAUAUCUGUAUCUAUAUCUAUAUCUGUAUCUAUCUGUAUCUAUAUCUGUAUCUAUAUCUGUAUCCACUGUAUCU